ACACUGGUAAUUUUAACAUUUUUCAACCAGAUUUGUCGAGCUUUAGUUUUGGCCAUUUUGUAAAUUUCUUCAACAUGCUGGUAGAUCCUAGAUCUCAAAGAGCCGAGAGAAAUAGCAUGGAAGUAGCUGUACUGCAGAUAGGGAACGUGGUUUUAAUAGAUAUAGGAAUUAGUUUUGAAAUCCAGGAAAACAGUGAAAUUCUCUUGCUUAAUGCCACCAUCACUUGAGCCUUGACUCUUGAGCUAGGUAAUAAAGUCAAAUCAAGUUAUAUUGAAUUGUCGUUGUUAAAACAGUGAAUCUUUCCCAUAAGUAGUUUAAAAAUUUGUGAAUCAGGAUCUUUAGUUUUAACGGUUUUAACAUGGUAAGAAUAUAUAGCAUAAAUAUGGUGAUGUCCUGACGUGUCUUUGCUGUGUCCCACCCUCGGUUAAGAAAUUAUUCACGACCACAGUUUACAGUCGGACUUUUGCCGCUUAAAUUGGCUGAUUCCCUGACAUCUGCACUGCAUUCUUUAUAAAAUUGAUAACACAGCCUAAAAUUUGUACUUGGCAAUUCCAUGUGAUCAUGUGGCCUGAAACUGCUGUACAUUUUCCCAAAAUGAAAAUGUCGUCUCUUAUUGCAAGUACCGGCUGUAGGCUGUACGUUUCGUCACAUACAGAAAUACUUCAGAACAGUAAAAGUAAUUGUGUUGGUCAACUUUUUUACCCUAAGCCUGAUGAAGUCAGAGCUUCUUCAUUGCAGUCCAAACUCCAACGUGCAUGUGGAUUUGUUGCAGCCAGCUGGUGUAAGUAGGAUUAACAGCCUCUUAAGGUCUGAGCCUCUUCAUUGCAGUCCAAUGUACACAUGAAUAUGGUGCAGCCAGGUGGUGAACGGUGUAGUGAGCUGUUGCAUGACGUGUGUAAAAUUGUGUCCACCAGUAUGUUCGUGAGAAACGAAAAACCGGCAUUUUCUUUUUAGACAGUGGACGGAAAUGCGUUUCCGACGGUGUUUUUCACUUUUGCAUUUAAUAAUGAUGAGGUAUUUUUACGCCAUUGGACCAAGUUGAAUCGAAAGUGAACAACUCUAAAGCAUUUUGUGAAAGCAUGUGGAAGAUUUUGCCUGUCUCCGCGUGAUCGCUGUUGUGUCAUGAAGAUGUGUGUUUGAGAGCGUCUCUACAACAUUGCAAGAUGAAAAUUUGAUAAAACAGGAAAUCUGAAAUGUCUAAUGUUAGCUUAUGGUUUUCCUGUUUGGUGUAAAGUGGUUUUGCAGUCCCUUUCCAGUUACGAGAUGCUCUGAAAUGGAGCUUGUGCAGACUUGCAGUUCAACAUCACACUAAAAUGUGUCAUUUGCCUAUGUUUGUGUCCGUGCAGUAUAUGCCGUGUUGAAAAGUCAGGGUUAUUUAAAUAGUCAAUGUUGCCUGAUGGCUGUCGGUCUUGUUUUAUCGGCUGCAUUUUGUCGAUAUGUCGUCUUUUGUUACCUGUACAAGCG
This is a long non-coding RNA of Daphnia pulicaria, 1464 nucleotides long. RefSeq lists it as uncharacterized. The record is from RefSeq and is a predicted model, not a curated record. The transcript has 7 exons. NCBI's taxonomy places the organism in Eukaryota, Metazoa, Arthropoda, Branchiopoda, Diplostraca, Daphniidae.